Molecule: ribosomal RNA, 1327 nt
Filed under: Tetralia rubridactyla
Lineage: Eukaryota; Metazoa; Arthropoda; Malacostraca; Decapoda; Tetraliidae
Description: 16S ribosomal RNA
Rfam family: Archaeal large subunit ribosomal RNA (bases 620-1327)
Source: RNAcentral
UGUAUAACAAAUCUUAUAUAUUAUAUAAUUGUAAUAAGAAAAUUUUAGUAAAUAAAGUAAUUUUAAAUAUAAAAUUAAGUAAUGUAUAAUGAAACUAAAAAUUAAUAUUAUAGUAUAAAAGUACCGUGAGGGAAAGAAAACAAGUAACAAUAUUCAGUAGAAAAUAUAAAUAAUUGUACCUUUGGUAUCAGGGAUAAUCAAAAUUAAUUAAUCAGUUUUAAUGGUCUCGAAUUAAGAACAGCUAAUUUAAUAUUAAGUUUCUGUAGAAAAAGAAUUUAUAAUUUUAGAUUAAAAGUGAAAAGCUAACCGAGUCUUAGAUAUCUAGUUUUUAAGGAAAUAAAUUUAAUUUAGGUUUUAUAGUAAACUUAUAUUAAAUUCUAAAAAUAGGAGGGAUUAGCUUCUUAUUCUGAAUAAUAGCAAUUAAUUCUUUUUAGUUUACUAGGCUUAAAAGUAGCCAUGAGUGGAGAAUAUGUUUUAAUUUAGGUGGAUAAAAAUAAUUAUUUAUAAUAAUUGCUUUGUUUAUUUACUUGAAUAUUAAAUUUAAUUAAAUUAUUUGAUAAAUCAUGAUUGUAUUAGUAUAGUUUGUUAUUAAAGAGAGAAGUAAAUUAUAAUGUAAAAUUAUAAAUCAACGGAAGAUAAAAUUAAAGAAUUCGGCAAAAAUGUUUUCUGCCUGUUUAUCAAAAACAUGUCUAUUUGGAGAUGUAAAUAGUCAGGCCUGCUCACUGACUGAAUUUGUUUAAGAGCCGCGGUAUUCUGACCGUGCAAAGGUAGCAUAAUCAUUAGUUUUUUAAUUGAAAACUGGUAUGAAAGGUUAGACAAGAAAAAAGCUGUUUCAAUUAUAAUUUUUGAAUUUAACUUUUAAGUGAGAAGGCUUAAAUUACUUAGAGGGACGAUAAGACCCUAUAAAGCUUUAUAUAAAUAUUAAAGUUGAUUGAAGUUGUAUUAAAAGUUAAUAAUAAGUAAUAUAUUUUGUUGGGGCGACAUAAGUAUAAUUUUUAUAACUGCUUAUAUUUUAUGAUCAUUUAUAAAUGGAUAAAUUUUAGAUGACCCUAUAUUAUAGAUUUAAAGAUUAAGUUACUUUAGGGAUAACAGCGUUAUUUUACUUGAGAGUUCUUAUCGAAAGUGAAGUUUGCGACCUCGAUGUUGAAUUAAAGUUUCUGUAUAAUGCAGCCGUUAUAUAAGAAGGUCUGUUCGACCUUUAAAUUUUUACAUGAUUUGAGUUCAGACCGGUGUAAGCCAGGUCGGUUUCUAUCUUCUAAUUUUUAAAAAAUUAUUUUAGUACGAAAGGAUUAAAUAAUUUAAAAUUUUUAUAAACAUGUAAAAAAAU